RNAcentral lists this ribosomal RNA (497 nucleotides) under uncultured bacterium. Its description in RNAcentral is "partial 16S ribosomal RNA". It matches the Rfam family "Bacterial small subunit ribosomal RNA", at positions 28 to 507 of the family's 1533-position model. The record is from RNAcentral.
GAUGAACGCUGGCGGCGUGCCUAAUACAUGCAAGUCGAGCGAACGGACGAGAAGCUUGCUUCUCUGAUGUUAGCGGCGGACGGGUGAGUAACACGUGGAUAACCUACCUAUAAGACUGGGAUGACUUCGGGAAACCGGAUCUAAUACCGGAUAAUAUUUUGAACCGCAUGGUUCAAAAGUGAAAGACGGUCUUGCUGUCACUUAUAGAUGGAUCCGCGCUGCAUUAGCUAGUUGGUAAGGUAACGGCUUACCAAGGCAACGAUGCAUAGCCGACCUGAGAGGGUGAUCGGCCACACUGGAACUGAGACACGGUCCAGACUCCUACGGGAGGCAGCAGUAGGGAAUCUUGCGCAAUGGGCGAAAGCCUGACGGAGCAACGCCGCGUGAGUGAUGAAGGUCUUCGGAUCGUAAAACUCUGUUAUUAGGGAAGAAAAUAUGUGUAAGUAACUGUGCACAUCUUGACGGUACCUAAUCAGAAAGCCACGGCUAACUACGUG